RNAcentral lists this ribosomal RNA (391 nucleotides) under uncultured bacterium. RNAcentral's name for it is "bacterial SSU rRNA". It matches the Rfam family "Bacterial small subunit ribosomal RNA", at positions 505 to 898 of the family's 1533-position model. The record is from RNAcentral.
GUGUCAGCAGCCGCGGUAAUACGGAGGGUGCAAGCGUUAUCCGGAUUUAUUGGGUUUAAAGGGUGCGUAGGCGGUAUUUUAAGUCAGUGGUGAAAACUUGCAGCUUAACUGUAAGACUGCCAUUGAAACUGAAGUACUUGAGUUAUCUUGAGGUAGGCGGAAUGUGUAGUGUAGCGGUGAAAUGCUUAGAUAUUACACAGAACACCGAUUGCGAAGGCAGCUUACUAAGGAUACACUGACGCUCAGGCACGAAAGCGUGGGGAUCGAACAGGAUUAGAUACCCUGGUAGUCCACGCCGUAAACGAUGAUAACUCGCUGUUGGCGAUACACAGUCAGCGGCUUAGCGAAAGCGUUAAGUUAUCCACCUGGGGAGUACGCUCGCAAGAGUGAA